UAGUCCACACCGUAAACGAUGAAUGCCAGACGUCGGGGGGCUUGCCCUUCGGUGUCACACCUAACGGAUUAAGCAUUCCGCCUGGGGAGUACGGUCGCAAGAUUAAAACUCAAAGGAAUUGACGGGGACCCGCACAAGCGGUGGAGCAUGUGGUUUAAUUCGAUGCAACGCGAAGAACCUUACCUGGUCUUGAUAUCCUGCGAACUUUCCAGAAAUGGAUUGGUGCCUUCGGGAACGCAGUGACAGGUGCUGCAUGGCUGUCGUCAGCUCGUGUCGUGAGAUGUUGGGUUAAGUCCCGCAACGAGCGCAACCCUUGUCUUUAGUUGCCAUCAUUAAGUUGGGCACUUUAAAGAGACUGCCGGUGACAAACCGGAGGAAGGUAAGGAUGACGUCAAGUCAGCAUGCCCCUUAUGCUCUGGGCUACACACGUGCUACAAUGGCCGUGACAAAGAGUUGCUACUUUGUGAAAACAAGCUAAUCUCAUAAACGCGGCCUCAGUUCGGAUUGC
This 508-nucleotide ribosomal RNA is filed under the name uncultured bacterium. Its description in RNAcentral is "bacterial SSU rRNA". It matches the Rfam family "Bacterial small subunit ribosomal RNA", at positions 791 to 1301 of the family's 1533-position model. The record is from RNAcentral.